CUUACCCUGGAGCGCACGUGGCGGCUGUCGUCGCUGGCCUCACAAGUAUCAAGUCAAGGGAUAUGUCCGCAAUUCGGUGUGCAAGCCCGGCAUGACCGGGAAGCCUUAAGGUUGUCCAAUAUCCCACCGUAGGAGAUAGAGGUCCUGCGGGAGGAUAGCCGCACGGCCCGUCCGGGGUACUU
Molecule: non-coding RNA, 182 nt
Filed under: Desulfovibrio sp.
Lineage: Bacteria; Pseudomonadati; Thermodesulfobacteriota; Desulfovibrionia; Desulfovibrionales; Desulfovibrionaceae
Description: 6S RNA
Rfam family: 6S / SsrS RNA
About the family: E. coli 6S RNA was the first non coding RNA to be sequenced, but its function was unknown until recently. It consists of 184 nucleotides that fold into an extended hairpin structure with a large single-stranded internal bulge.
Source: RNAcentral